RNAcentral lists this transfer RNA (68 nucleotides) under human gut metagenome. It matches the Rfam family "tRNA". Rfam says of the family: Transfer RNA (tRNA) molecules are approximately 80 nucleotides in length. The record is from RNAcentral.
CAUUGUAGCUCAAUGGUAGAGCAUUCGGCUGUUAACCGAAGGGUUGUUGGUUCGAGUCCGGCCAAUGC